GACGAGGCCGAUGUAGCCCGAGACGAGGGUGAUGCAGAGGGCCUCCUCCAGCACCAUGACGACGAUCGCGCGCGGGGGUGCGCCGAUCGCCUUACGCAGACCGAACUCGCGCGUGCGCUCCUGAACCGAGAUGAGCAUGAUGUUGCCGACGCCGACGACGCCCGCAAGGAUCGUCCCGAGGCCGAUGAUCCACACGAACGCACGGAUCCCUC
RNAcentral lists this unclassified non-coding RNA (212 nucleotides) under plant metagenome. Its description in RNAcentral is "partial contains 5.8S ribosomal RNA, internal transcribed spacer 2, and large subunit ribosomal RNA". The record is from RNAcentral.